This 324-nucleotide unclassified non-coding RNA is filed under the name uncultured Geminibasidium. RNAcentral describes it as "sequence contains ITS2". The stretch from base 1 to 52 matches the Rfam family "5.8S ribosomal RNA", at positions 103 to 154 of the family's 154-position model. Lineage: Eukaryota; Fungi; Basidiomycota; Geminibasidiomycetes; Geminibasidiales; Geminibasidiaceae. The record is from RNAcentral.
AACGCAACUUGCGCCCUCUGGUAUUCCGGAGGGCAUGCCUGUUUGAGUGUCGUGAACACCUCAACCCUCCAAUGUUUUUUUUGCAUUGAAGGUGUUGGUAGUGAGCGCUGCCGGACUUUGGAUCGGCUCGCUUUAAAAUCAUUAGCUGGAUCCAUUCUGACCUGGUUCUACUCGGCGUAAUAAGUUAUUAUCGUCGAGGACGCGUGGCCUUCUAGGCAGGCGGCCACAGUAAGGGUGUUUGAACCGCUUCCAACAUGUCUUGCUCUUGUAGCAAACACUUGAACAUCUGACCUCAAAUCAGGCAGGACUACCCGCUGAACUUAA